This 492-nucleotide ribosomal RNA is filed under the name uncultured bacterium. Its description in RNAcentral is "partial 16S ribosomal RNA". It matches the Rfam family "Bacterial small subunit ribosomal RNA", at positions 29 to 507 of the family's 1533-position model. The record is from RNAcentral.
AGUGAACGCUGGCGGUAGGCCUAACACAUGCAAGUCGAACGGCAGCACAGUAAGAGCUUGCUCUUACGGGUGGCGAGUGGCGGACGGGUGAGGAAUACAUCGGAAUCUACUUUUUCGUGGGGGAUAACGUAGGGAAACUUACGCUAAUACCGCAUACGACCUACGGGUGAAAGCAGGGGAUCUUCAGACCUUGCGCGAUUGAAUGAGCCGAUGUCGGAUUAGCUAGUUGGCGGGGUAAAGGCCCACCAAGGCGACGAUCCGUAGCUGGUCUGAGAGGAUGAUCAGCCACACUGGAACUGAGACACGGUCCAGACUCCUACGGGAGGCAGCAGAGGGGAAUAUUGGACAAUGGGCGCAAGCCUGAUCCAGCCAUACCGCGUGGGUGAAGAAGGCCUUCGGGUUGUAAAGCCCUUUUGUUGGGAAAGAAAAGCAGCAGGUUAAUACCCCGCUGUUCUGACGGUACCCAAAGAAUAAGCACCGGCUAACUUCGUG